GCCAAAACUGGAAACAAAUCCUCCAUUUAUCUACAAAACAGGUGUAGCAUGGGCAGUGGAAAAGGAAACUUCCCCACAGCACCCUACUAAUAUGCCUUAACCUUAACUGAGAGGGACCACUUUUAGAGCUCAGUGCGUAGUUAGUUAAUCUUUGUCUUUUUGGCUGAG
This is an unclassified non-coding RNA of Chrysemys picta bellii (western painted turtle), 168 nucleotides long. Lineage: Eukaryota; Metazoa; Chordata; Testudines; Emydidae. The record is from Ensembl.